This 440-nucleotide ribosomal RNA is filed under the name uncultured bacterium. Its description in RNAcentral is "partial 16S ribosomal RNA". It matches the Rfam family "Bacterial small subunit ribosomal RNA", at positions 338 to 795 of the family's 1533-position model. The record is from RNAcentral.
CCUACGGGAGGCAGCAGUGGGGAAUAUUGCACAAUGGGGGAAACCCUGAUGCAGCGACGCCGCGUGAGUGAAGAAGUAUUUCGGUAUGUAAAGCUCUAUCAGCAGGGAAGAAAAUGACGGUACCUGACUAAGAAGCCCCGGCUAACUACGUGCCAGCAGCCGCGGUAAUACGUAGGGGGCAAGCGUUAUCCGGAUUUACUGGGUGUAAAGGGAGCGUAGACGGCCUGACAAGUCAGAAGUGAAAGCCCAGGGCUCAACUCUGGGACUGCUUUUGAAACUGCCGGGCUGGAGUGAAGGAGAGGUAAGCGGAAUGCCUAGUGUAGCGGUGAAAUGCGUAGAUAUUAGGAGGAACACCAGUGGCGAAGGCGGCUUACUGGACUGUAACUGACGUUGAGGCACGAAAGCGUGGGGAGCAAACAGGAUUAGAUACCCUUGUAGUC